GAUGAAGAACGCAGCGAAAUGCGAUACGUAAUGUGAAUUGCAGAAUUCAGUGAAUCAUCGAAUCUUUGAACGCAUAUUGCGCUCUCUGGUAUUCCGGAGAGCAUGCUUGUUUGAGUAUCAGUAAACACCUCAACUUCCAUAUCUUUUUUGAAAUGGGAGUUGGACUUGAGUGAUCCCAACGCUUUUCCUCACCGAAAAGUGGCGGGUUACUUGAAAUGCAGGUGCAGCUGGACUUUUCUCUGAGCUAUAAGCAUAUAUAUUUAGUCUGCCUAAAAAACAGAUUAUUACCUUUGCGGCAGCUAACAUAAAGGAGAUUAGUUCUUGUGCUGACUGAUGCAGGAUUCACAAAGACAGGCUUCGGCCGACUUUGUAAACUCGAUCUCAAAUCAAGUAAGACUACCCGCUGAACUUAAGCAUAUCAAUAAGCGGAGGA
This 433-nucleotide unclassified non-coding RNA is filed under the name soil metagenome. RNAcentral's name for it is "partial contains 5.8S ribosomal RNA, internal transcribed spacer 2, and large subunit ribosomal RNA". The stretch from base 1 to 120 matches the Rfam family "5.8S ribosomal RNA", at positions 35 to 154 of the family's 154-position model. The record is from RNAcentral.